CCUACGGGGGGCAGCAGUAGGGAAUCUUCCACAAUGGGCGAAAGCCUGAUGGAGCAACGCCGCGUGGGUGAAGAAGGUCUUCGGAUCGUAAAACCCUGUUGUUAGAGAAGAAAGUGCGUGAGAGUAACUGUUCACGUUUCGACGGUAUCUACCCAGAAAGCCACGGCUAACUACGUGCCAGCAGCCGCGGUAAUACGUAGGUGGCAAGCGUUAUCCGGAUUUAUUGGGCGUAAAGGGAACGCAGGCGGUCUUUUAAGUCUGAUGUGAAAGCCUUCGGCUUAACCGGAGUAGUGCAUUGGAAACUGGGAGACUGGAGUGCAGAAGAGGAGAGUGGAACUCCAUGUGUAGCGGUGAAAUGCGUAGAUAUAUGGAAGAACACCAGUGGCGAAAGCGGCUCUCUGGUCUGUAACUGACGCUGAGGUUCGAAAGCGUGGGUAGCAAACAGGAUUAGAUACCCCUGUAGUC
RNAcentral lists this ribosomal RNA (465 nucleotides) under uncultured bacterium. Its description in RNAcentral is "partial 16S ribosomal RNA". It matches the Rfam family "Bacterial small subunit ribosomal RNA", at positions 338 to 795 of the family's 1533-position model. The record is from RNAcentral.